This 464-nucleotide ribosomal RNA is filed under the name uncultured Ochrobactrum sp. Its description in RNAcentral is "bacterial SSU rRNA". It matches the Rfam family "Bacterial small subunit ribosomal RNA", at positions 920 to 1382 of the family's 1533-position model. The record is from RNAcentral. Lineage: Bacteria; Pseudomonadati; Pseudomonadota; Alphaproteobacteria; Hyphomicrobiales; Brucellaceae.
CCCGCACAAGCGGUGGAGCAUGUGGUUUUAAUUCGAAGCAACGCGCAGAACCUUACCAGCCCUUGACAUACCGGUCGCGGACACAGAGAUGUGUCUUUCAGUUCGGCUGGACCGGAUACAGGUGCUGCAUGGCUGUCGUCAGCUCGUGUCGUGAGAUGUUGGGUUAAGUCCCGCAACGAGCGCAACCCUCGCCCUUAGUUGCCAGCAUUUAGUUGGGCACUCUAAGGGGACUGCCGGUGAUAAGCCGAGAGGAAGGUGGGGAUGACGUCAAGUCCUCAUGGCCCUUACGGGCUGGGCUACACACGUGCUACAAUGGUGGUGACAGUGGGCAGCGAGCACGCGAGUGUGAGCUAAUCUCCAAAAGCCAUCUCAGUUCGGAUUGCACUCUGCAACUCGAGUGCAUGAAGUUGGAAUCGCUAGUAAUCGCGGAUCAGCAUGCCACGGUGAAUACGUUCCCGGGCCUU